Molecule: ribosomal RNA, 503 nt
Filed under: uncultured bacterium
Lineage: Bacteria
Description: partial 16S ribosomal RNA
Rfam family: Bacterial small subunit ribosomal RNA
Source: RNAcentral
AUUGAACGCUGGCGGCAGGCUUAACACAUGCAAGUCGAGCGGAGUGAUGGUGCUUGCACCAUCACUUAGCGGCGGACGGGUGAGUAAUGCUUAGGAAUCUGCCUAUUAGUGGGGGACAACAUCUCGAAAGGGAUGCUAAUACCGCAUACGUCCUACGGGAGAAAGCAGGGGAUCACUUGUGACCUUGCGCUAAUAGAUGAGCCUAAGUCGGAUUAGCUAGUUGGUGGGGUAAAGGCCUACCAAGGCGACGAUCUGUAGCGGGUCUGAGAGGAUGAUCCGCCACACUGGGACUGAGACACGGCCCAGACGCCUACGGGAGGCAGCGGUGGGGAAAAUUGGACAAUGGGGGGAACCCUGAUCCAGCCAUGCCGCGUGUGUGAAGUAGGCCUUAUGGUUGUAAAGCACUUUAAGCGAGGAGGAGGCUCUUUUGGUUAAUACCCAAGAUGAGUGGACGUUACUCGCAGAAUAAGCACCGGCUAACUCUGUGCCAGCCGCCGCAGUAA